Scylla paramamosain (green mud crab) is the source of this 887-nucleotide long non-coding RNA. RefSeq lists it as uncharacterized. The transcript is spliced from 6 exons. The record is from RefSeq and is a predicted model, not a curated record. NCBI's taxonomy places the organism in Eukaryota, Metazoa, Arthropoda, Malacostraca, Decapoda, Portunidae.
CUCUCUCUCAGUAGUUGCACUGGUUUUCAAGGAUAUUUUUACUGUUCUAGUGACAGAUUAACAUCAUUUCUACAUUACUAACAAGAGAAACACGCUUUUAAAAGGCUGUAAUUGAAGUGACACGGUUUUCAAGGGUGUUUUACAGUUCUAGUGACACAUCUACAACAUUUCUACAUUAUUAACAGGAGAAACACCCUUGAAAACCCUGGUAAUCAUCUUUGCGGCUUUGAGAAACAGUCGUGAAGAGAGAGAGAGAGAGAGAGAGAGAGAGAGAGAGGAGCAUUUUAGUUGAGCCUACCCUACGCUCAUUCGUGUUUGCGGCGGUGACAAGGUGCAACACUUCUCCUUGCACCGAGCACCGCCAAGCAGCACCAAAGAGGCACGAAUACGCAAGCAGAUGGUCAAUAAGGGCAUGCGGGGGAAAGGCCACUAAGUGUUGCAUUUCAUCCAGCUUGUGCAGAGCCUCCUUCAGAGUUGCAGGGUCUAUCCAGGAUGCUUCCACCAGCAUGUCUCUGAAUGCUGCAGACACGUCCUCCACCAUCUGCAACGUCUGUAAAGUCGUCCCUAGUUAAGGUUCUUGCAGGUGCAUGCUCCAGAAGAUUCACCAAACGGGGCAGAUAGGCAGGUCUGUCCACUACCAGCUGCUGUGUUUCUGUCAAGUGUAUUCCUGUCCCAUUGAAUAUAUCCUUAAGGAAGCUUAGCCAGUCUACCUGUGGAGGAGGAGGGGCUUGCCAGGGAGUGAUGGAAGAUCCUCCUCCAGCAGACCUGAAGGAAGAAAAAUAAACAACAAGGUUUCUCCUGGUUCACCAUCUGACACCUUCCACACAAAGCCCCAUCACGUCUCCAUACAUACCUUGCACAUCCAGCAGCGUCUUUUCAUCCAGGUC